GCAACAAAAAAUACUUUGUGCUGGAGCAUCAGUAAUUUCAUGACUGGAGUUACUUUAAAUAAAGGACAUGAAGUAGGCAUGGGGUCAUCUACCUUUAUGAAUCAGGAUUACCCCAACCCUUCCUCCCCUAAUCAUAGAAUGGCCUGGGUUGAAAAGGACCAUAAUGAUCAUCUAGUUUAAACCCCCAGCUGUGUGCAGGGUCACCAACCACUAGACCAGGCUGCCCAGAGCCACAUCCAGCCUGGGCUUGAAUGCCUCCAGGGAUGGGGCAUCCAGAACUUCCUUGGGCAACCUGUUCCAAUGGGAUGGGUGGUAAUAAAAGAGGCAGAGGCUUACAUGGAAUACAGUGAUAAAGUUGCCUGUAGAGUCACAUGAAAGAGGGGACUCCCAUUGUUAGUUGCAGCUGAGAAUGAGGUCUUCUUUGAUCACAAAGCCAGGUGGGAGGAAUAUAUCCUAACCUGUUUCACAGCAGCAGAGUCUUUCUUCUCUGCUGUCACCUUCAGGACAGGUUCAGCUGCAUCUAGCACUUGGGGUUGUGGCACAGGAGAAGGACCACAGUGCGGUGCUGUGCAAAUGUCUGAGAUAAAGACUGGGCCACAGCUUAUCAAGAGGAAAGGGACAGCAGAGCCCUCUGUUCCAGUACUGCGUGCUUAUUUUCUUACAGGAGUUGCUGCAUUCACCAUCCCCAAUUCUCCAGCCUCUUUUGUGAAAACCCAGUUGAAAUCAUGCUGCCCUGACUGGAGGGUAUCGCACCUUCCGACAAAACAUCAUAAGGAGCAAAGAACUACUAUUUCUCAGUGAUCCAGCCCAUAAAUCAAUCCUCAAAUUUCUUUGCAAGGAUGGUAUGAGAUUCCACGAGUGUUCUCUGCUUUCGUAUUCUAAAGACAGGCUGUGUCCUCAGAAAAAAAAAGAAAGGAAAAAAAAAAAGAACCAGGACUGGCUAAAUCAUUUCAGGGCCUGACUGAUCUUAUCAGGACCUCCCUUGCUGCAACGAUAAUUUGAGACUGUCAGAAAUUGCCACCUUUAUCUGAUGGGUGGUCCCACCAACUGCUCUGUUAUCAGAGCCCAGCUGCACAAGGAAAACAGGAUGUGGCAUGACCUUGGUAUCCCAGCACCUGACAUCAGUAUCUAAUCUGUCAGAUGUCUCACUGAAGCUGUCUUGAGAUGCUGUACAUGCCCCCUCUGGCACCAAGUCAUUCAAAAGACGUUUGCUUCACACUUGUGUUAGCCCACCAGCGCACACAGAGUACGUCCUGGUGCAUCACUGCCCUGCCUGCUAGUGUAGUGACACUUGAGUUUUAAGGUGUUUUUCUGCAAAGCUUUGUCAGCCUUUCUCCUGGAAAGCUUGCUUUGCAGGACUGUAACCCAGCUAGCAACAAUUCAGCAUCCAAAUUUGACCUCCAAAUUCAUUUCAUUGGUUUUCCAUGUUUUAAUCAGGCUAUACAUUACAUGUCUGUUAGUAUAGUUAAUAUUACCUAAGAAUACCACAACGUAGGCACUGCCUCAUAGCCAGUACAAGGAAGAACAUGAGUGUUGCUGUUACAAAUAAUUAUCCCCGUCUCUCUUGCCUGCUUGAUCCUUUGCAGAGGUUGAGACCACCUAAGAAAACUCCUCUUGAAAGAGUACGGUCAUUGCCAUAGCUCUGUGCUGCCUGGUUCUACAGGUGUGGUACAAAUGGUGUGCUGAAGGAGGAGCCGGGGCUCAAAACACGUGAGAUCAUCAGGCAAGCAAGAAAAAAGGCUGCAAAAUGUGAAACCAAAAGCGCAGAGAAAUUAACCAUCCAGGGAAGAUCAGAGUGCUAUAGUAUGUCAUUUCUGAAAGAGAAGAUGUGGAUUUUCUGUUUCAAUAUUAUGGCUUUUCAUUCCUUUAUAUGGGUACAUUUAUUAUACAUUUUUUUAGGGGGAUGAAUUUAGAAUUAGAAUCAAACCUUUUGAUUCUGUUAAGCAAAAGCCUUUGAUAUGACCCCAAUUUCCCUUUUUUUUUUUUCCCCCUGGGAAUUACCGCAGCUUCCCCCCCCCCCCCCGAGAAAAUCUUCUGAAACUUCAAAUUUUUUUCACAAACAGCAACUGAUUUGUCUAUCACCUCUGCUACAUGCAGUGAUUGCUGAUGGGGGUCUUAGAUAUGUUCUUCCCACAUAGUAACCAGGCACAAAUUCUAGCAUUUCUAUCCACAGAAAGCAUCAGAAAAGGAUGAAAGUUCAUUGCAGGAAAUGGCUCUCACAAGCUCUGUGAGUGGAGGUUUACCUGUGCAGUGAAUAGGGUUUGGCAAUUAUCAAGCAAACUGACAAACCAGUGCCAAGCCUUGGUUUGUUGCUGCUGUUCAAAAAUGCCAAGACACUGAAUUCCACAAUGUCUGUGACAACUUAAGCAUGUAAGUCUUGAAUUUCAGUCUUUGCAGAAGUUGCAAAUUUUAUUUUCAGUGCUAGUAUUCCCCAUUCCCCUUUAAAUAACAGUAGUAAUAUAGACAGGAGGAAGAUGUACAAGAAUUUCCCCUAUAUUUUUAUUCCUUUUCUUUUAACAAAGGACUUUGCUUCCUCUUGUUAAACCGAUCAGAGUGAUAGAGCUUGCUCUCUCCUAAAGCCAGUUCUAAACAUCGUUAAGGAUGACCACAGGAAUCAUUACUGUAUUUAUUUAUUUUUCCCAAAUAAAAUAUUUAACAUGUUUGGGCUCUGGCUGUCU
This is a long non-coding RNA of Numida meleagris (helmeted guineafowl), 2678 nucleotides long. Lineage: Eukaryota; Metazoa; Chordata; Aves; Galliformes; Numididae. The record is from Ensembl.